GUCUUUUUGAUUAAUAAUUUAAAGUUUAAUUUGCCCCCUGAUUAAUAAUUAAAGGGCUGCAGUAUAUUGACUGUACAAAGGUAGCAUAAUCAUUAGUCUUUUAAUUGAAGACUUGUAUGAAAGAUUUGAUGAAAUAUAAACUGUCUCUAAAUUAAUUAUAGAAAUUAAUUUUUUAAUUAAAAAGUUAAAAUAAUUUAAAAAGACGAGAAGACCCUAUAGAGUUUUAUAAUAAUUAAAAAUUUAAAUUAAAUAUAUAAAUAAUAAAUUUAAAAUUUUAUUAUUAUUUUAUUGGGGUGAUAAAAAAAUUUAAUUAACUUUUUUUAAAAUAAAAUCAUAAAUAAGUGAAUAGAUGAUCCAUAAUUAAUGAUUAAAAGAAAAAAUUACCUUAGGGAUAACAGCGUAAUUUUUUUUUUUAGUACAAAUAAAAAAAAAAGGUUGCGACCUCGAUGUUGGAUUAAGAUAAAAUUUAAAUGCAAAAGUUUAAAAUUUUGAUCUGUUCGAUCAUUAAAAUCUUACAU
This 518-nucleotide ribosomal RNA is filed under the name Dione glycera. RNAcentral describes it as "partial 16S ribosomal RNA". The stretch from base 391 to 518 matches the Rfam family "Archaeal large subunit ribosomal RNA", at positions 2542 to 2670 of the family's 2987-position model. Lineage: Eukaryota; Metazoa; Arthropoda; Insecta; Lepidoptera; Nymphalidae. The record is from RNAcentral.